UACGUAGGGGGCAAGCGUUGUCCGGAAUCAUUGGGCGUAAAGAGCGUGUAGGCGGUCCGAUAAGUCCGCUCUGAAAGUCCGGGGCUCAACCCCGGGAGGCGGGCGGAUACUGUCGGGCUAGAGUCCGGAAGAGGCAAGUGGAAUUCCUGGUGUAGCGGUGAAAUGCGCAGAUAUCAGGAGGAACACCGGUGGCGAAGGCGGUUCUCUGGGCAUGAUCUGACGCUGAGGAGCGAAAGUGUGGGGAGCGAACAGG
This 253-nucleotide ribosomal RNA is filed under the name uncultured bacterium. RNAcentral describes it as "partial 16S ribosomal RNA". It matches the Rfam family "Bacterial small subunit ribosomal RNA", at positions 524 to 776 of the family's 1533-position model. The record is from RNAcentral.